RNAcentral lists this ribosomal RNA (481 nucleotides) under uncultured bacterium. RNAcentral describes it as "partial 16S ribosomal RNA". It matches the Rfam family "Bacterial small subunit ribosomal RNA", at positions 28 to 507 of the family's 1533-position model. The record is from RNAcentral.
GAUGAAUGCUGGCGGCGUGCUUAACACAUGCAAGUCGAACGAAGCACUUUAUUUGAUUUCCUUCGGGACUGAUUAUUUUGUGACUGAGUGGCGGACGGGUGAGUAACGCGUGGGUAACCUGCCUUGUACAGGGGGAUAACAGUUGGAAACGGCUGCUAAUACCGCAUAAGCGCACAGCAUCGCAUGAUGCAGUGUGAAAAACUCCGGUGGUAUAAGAUGGACCCGCGUUGGAUUAGCUAGUUGGUGAGGUAACGGCCCACCAAGGCGACGAUCCAUAGCCGACCUGAGAGGGUGACCGGCCACAUUGGGACUGAGACACGGCCCAAACUCCUACGGGAAGCAGCAGUGGGGAAUAUUGCACAAUGGGCGAAAGCCUGAUGCAGCGACGCCGCGUGAGCGAAGAAGUAUUUCGGUAUGUAAAGCUCUAUCAGCAGGGAAGAUAAUGACGGUACCUGACUAAGAAGCACCGGCUAAAUACGUG